RNAcentral lists this ribosomal RNA (447 nucleotides) under uncultured bacterium. RNAcentral describes it as "bacterial SSU rRNA". It matches the Rfam family "Bacterial small subunit ribosomal RNA", at positions 32 to 507 of the family's 1533-position model. The record is from RNAcentral.
AAUCAACGCUGGCGGCGUGCCUAACACAUGCAAGUCGAACGAGAAAGGGGGACUUCGGUCCCUGAGUACAGUGGCGCACGGGUGAGUAACACGUGACUUAUCUACCCUCGAGUGGGGAAUAACUUCGGGAAACCGAGGCUAAUACCGCAUAAUACCCACGGGUCAAAGGAGCAAUUCGCUUGAGGAGGGGCGUCGCGCUAGUUAGUUGUCGGGACGGUAGCGACCCACGANACGUGAUCGGUAUCCGGCCUGAGAGGGCGCACGGACACACUGGAACUGAAACACGGUCCAGACUCCUACGGGAGGCAGCAGUGGGGAAUUUUGCGCAAUGGGGGAAACCCUGACGCAGCAACGCCGCGUGGAGGAUGAAGUCUCUUGGGACGUAAACUCCUUUCGAUCGGGACGAUUAUGACGGUACCGGAAGAAGAAGCCCCGGCUAACUUCGUG